Molecule: long non-coding RNA, 1518 nt
Organism: Bos taurus (domestic cattle)
Lineage: Eukaryota; Metazoa; Chordata; Mammalia; Artiodactyla; Bovidae
Source: Ensembl
CCCCCAUCCCACCGCCUUUAUCUCCUGCACCAUCUGUUUCUAGAAAUGUGCUUUGCUCCUUCCCAUGGAGAACCAACUCUCUCUGCCCUUGGUUCCCUCCAGCUCCCCUAUCUCCUCCUUCCUAGCCAAAGUUCUCAGUUUCCACUCCUUAUCUCUCAUUAUCUCCUCAAACCACACCAAUUAACUUCUGUCUCCACCCCUUGCUUAAUGGAAACAGCUCUAUUCAGCAUCACAAUACCUUUGCUAAACCCAGAAGUUAGGUCCUCUCCUUCAGCCCCUCCCAUCCUUCAGCUCAGUGGCCGCCCGCCUCCUACCACAGGCUCCCAUCGCCUAGCCUGCUCCGCUUUUCCUUCCACCUCCCUGGUUGUGCCUCAGUUUACUUGGCCAAUCCCACUUUCUCUGCUCAGCUGCUAAGUCGUGAGUCACCCUGAGCCUUGUUCUCUUUCUCGCUCUUUUUUUUUUUUUGGCCACUCAAUGUGAUUUACUGGAUCUUCCUUAGUUCCCUGGCCAGUGUCCUCUGCAGCAAAAGCUUGGAGUCCUGACCACCAGACUACCAGGGAAUUCCCAGAACCUUGUUCCUUUACAAGGCUACAUUCUUGGCCAGUCUCCUGGCUUUAGAUUCAAAAAUCCAUUUCUCCACCACUGACCUCACCCCUGAGCUCUAAGCUCAUUUCCAGUUGAUGACUUGAUGCCUCUACCACACAGAUCUCCAAUGGCCACUGGGCUCGGCCUAUGACUUCUUCUGGCCAGUGAAAUGCAGGAGGGAAUGACAUCACCACACUUUUUCCUUUUCCGUGUUAACCAGCAAUAUUCAAAAAUCGACCUGGGUCCCAGAGAAAAAUGGUGGGAAGCAGAGCCACACCCAACCCACAGCAGACAUACAACAGAAGUGAGCACCGUUUCCUGUGUGAACUCACUGCGGUUUGUGGGGGAGCUUUUUACCACAGUAUAAUCUAGCCUCUCCUGACUACAUACACCUCAUAAGGUCGUGAAAUCCAAUAAGGCCCACAACUAAUCUCUUUCCCAACCUCCUCUGCAUGUAGAAGUGGCCACAUGACUGACUGGCAGCCAAUUGAUGGGAGUGGAUGUAGCUGGUGCCAGUUCCCUGCCAUCCAAUAAACCAGCCUUGAGCAGUCCUCCCACUGCACCUCUGCCUACGUGAGAUGCAAGCAAGCAAGGUCCGCUUGGAAGAUCUGUGUUGAAAAUCGUUCCCACUUGGCUGAAUUUCCUGGUGGCUCAGAUGGAAAAGAAUCUGCCUGCAAUGCAAGAUUUCUGGGUUUGGUACCUGGAUUGGGAAGAUCCCCUGGAGGAGGAAAUGCAGUCACGUAUGGAUGUGAGUGUUGGAUCACAAAGGCUGGAUGCCAGAGAAUUGAUGCUUUUGAACUGUGGUGCUGGAGAAGACUUUUGAGAAUCCCUUGAAGAGCAAGGAGAUCCAACCAGUCAAUCCUAAAGGAAACCAACCCUGAAUAUUCAACUGGAAGGACGGAUGCUGAAGCUCCAAUCCUUUGGCCACCUGAU